RNAcentral lists this long non-coding RNA (803 nucleotides) under Anser brachyrhynchus (Pink-footed goose). RNAcentral describes it as "lncRNA (ENSABRG00000001877.1)". The record is from RNAcentral. Lineage: Eukaryota; Metazoa; Chordata; Aves; Anseriformes; Anatidae.
UAAUGAGUGGGUGGAGAAGGCUCCUUCACUCUUCAGACUUGUGAGGUCUCCUUUAAGGUGUGUACUACUGUUGGAUAAAGAGACAAACUUGCAGUGAUGUGUCUGUCAGCACUGCUUAGAGUGAAGGAGCAAGGUAGAAAUUGCACAAGAGUCUAUUACUGUUGCCUUCAAGGUGUCUCCAGGAGGUCACGUGUUUCCUGUAGAUUGUGCAUGAUAUCUAAUAGCUCCAUCUGGACUUUAAGCUCUCUUCACCCCUUCUGCCCUCCUUCAUUCAGCCUGGUAGCAUCACACACUGGAAACACACAACAGGGAAGGAAUAUGGACUGCCACACUCAUCGUGCCUUUAGAAAGCUUAGGGGAUGACAUACACUGUUCACAUUCACAGUGGUAAGGAAAAGAAAACAGGAGGAAAGUGUUUACACUCACUGAGAGCUUUCUGAAAUGGUUUUGCCUCUGCUGACAGGGAAGGUGCCACUGUUAUCCUCCACACAUUCUUAUUAGACCUCCAGCUGCUGUGGGAGCGGGCGCUUGCAAGUUCUCCUCCAGGAUGAGCAAGCAUAUCACACUCUGUGCUCAUUCCUCAAAAUGUCCCCAGUGGAGGCCUUGUUUUGCCAAGCAACAGGUUUGUUACAUCCUUGCAAGUUAAAGUGUAAUGCAAAAGGAAAAAAAAAAAGAAAGAGAAGAGAAAGAGAAAGAGAGAGAAAGAAAGAGAGAGAAAGAAAGAGAAAGAGACAGAGAAAGAAAGAGAAAGAGAGAGAGAGAGAGAAAGAGAAAUAAAUAAAUAAAGAAAGAAAGAAAGAAAG